GUCCCGCAACGAGCGCAACCCUUGUCCUUAGUUACCAGCACGUUAUGGUGGGCACUCUAAGGAGACUGCCGGUGACAAACCGGAGGAAGGUGGGGAUGACGUCAAGUCAUCAUGGCCCUUACGGCCUGGGCUACACACGUGCUACAAUGGUCGGUACGAAGGGUUGCCAAGCCGCGAGGUGGAGCUAAUCCCAUAAAACCGAUCGUAGUCCGGAUCGCAGUCUGCAACUCGACUGCGUGAAGUCGGAAUCGCUAGUAAUCGUGAAUCAGAAUGUCACGGUGAAUACGUUCCCGGGCCUU
Molecule: ribosomal RNA, 299 nt
Filed under: uncultured Pseudomonas sp.
Lineage: Bacteria; Pseudomonadati; Pseudomonadota; Gammaproteobacteria; Pseudomonadales; Pseudomonadaceae
Description: partial 16S ribosomal RNA
Rfam family: Bacterial small subunit ribosomal RNA
Source: RNAcentral